CUCCCGUGUCGUGUCGGCCAAGCGGGCCUCGCGGGCCCGGCAGGUUCGCGCCGCUCCGCCUCGCCGCCGCAGGGGGCCCCCUCGCGGGGGGAUGGCCUUCUCCCCCAAAACGUGUUCUGUCACCAGCAGGGCUCUCCUCCUGCCCCACUGUCUGGAAGAUGUCAGAUUCCGGGCACCUCGUCCUCCUCACCCAACAACGAUGUUUUGUGUCUUGAUCCCAGUUGAAGAGGCUGGCACACAAACAGCCUAAGGCUAUUCAUUCCUGGAACAAUUUUACAUAUGCAAGACGGAAGCCAGGACGGAUCUCUUCAUCCCAGACGUGGUCGUUCACACACAUUCUGGGUGAACGAGUCAUGCUCUGGGGUCAGGUCAGGAAGUGUCUACUGUUGGACGAAAGAUUCUGCAGGAAAAGGUGAAAGAUGCUUCAUGUCUCUGGGAGCGGAGAAAGAGAAAAGAGGCCAGUCUUGUCUACAGCUGUCACGGUGAAAAGUUCCAGGAAUUCAGAACUUGGGCACU
Kogia breviceps (pygmy sperm whale) is the source of this 516-nucleotide non-coding RNA. The record is from RefSeq and is a predicted model, not a curated record. NCBI's taxonomy places the organism in Eukaryota, Metazoa, Chordata, Mammalia, Artiodactyla, Physeteridae.